This 268-nucleotide ribosomal RNA is filed under the name uncultured Phascolarctobacterium sp. Its description in RNAcentral is "partial 16S ribosomal RNA". It matches the Rfam family "Bacterial small subunit ribosomal RNA", at positions 87 to 339 of the family's 1533-position model. The record is from RNAcentral. Lineage: Bacteria; Bacillati; Bacillota; Negativicutes; Acidaminococcales; Acidaminococcaceae.
AAUUUUUAGUGGCGAACGGGUGAGUAACGCGUAGGCAACCUGCCCUUUAGACGGGGACAACAUUCCGAAAGGGAUGCUAAUACCGGAUGUGACGCUCCUAUCGCAUGACGGGAGCGUGAAAGAUGGCCUCUACAUGUAAGCUAUCGCUAAAGGAUGGGCCUGCGUCUGAUUAGCUAGUUGGUAGUGUAACGGACAACCAAGGCGAUGAUCAGUAGCCGGUCUGAGAGGAUGAACGGCCACAUUGGGACUGAGACACGGCCCAGACUCC